ACGGACGCGCGGGUUUCGAAGUAGCAGAACAGCGCAGGAACCCGGGGAAUGGAAGCCCGG
Molecule: unclassified non-coding RNA, 60 nt
Filed under: Saccharomyces cerevisiae (brewer's yeast)
Lineage: Eukaryota; Fungi; Ascomycota; Saccharomycetes; Saccharomycetales; Saccharomycetaceae
Description: partial miscellaneous RNA
Source: RNAcentral